Molecule: long non-coding RNA, 561 nt
Filed under: Nicotiana benthamiana
Lineage: Eukaryota; Viridiplantae; Streptophyta; Magnoliopsida; Solanales; Solanaceae
Description: long non-coding RNA (NBEN_LNC034870)
Source: RNAcentral
GAAAGUUUGUCCACCUCGACUAUUGCUCCUCGUUCUUUGCGGUCUUUCUCUUUCGCUGUUACUGCUGCGAUAGAGGGUGAUAGAUUUGGCCAAAAAUCUGGUAACCACAGUUGCUUCAUCAGAUUUGGCUACUGCUUUAUCAGAUUUACUCUUAGAUUCCGACCAGAGUUUUUAUUUUUUUGAUAGACUUCGUUAACUCCGGCGAAACCAUGUUAUCUUAGUAGCGCUAGCGCCGCCAGUGUCAUGAAGAUUCUCUCUAUCUCGUUUGUACCAGAUUUGGGCAGAAUUUUUAAAGAAGAAAAGCUUUGUUUGUGAUUGGGUUCAAACAAAAAUAUUUUUGUUUUCUUCACUUUCAAAUUCGAUUUUAUUUUUGUUUCAAAACAAUAGAGUUUGAUUGAGCCGAGGUUGAUGCGAGAUCGCUGCCGUUGUUGAUGGCUUUUCGAGUCCCUGCAACGAUUGGUUGCUGUUACGUCAAAAUUACAUUGUCGGAUCUUCUGUAUUUGAUUCCAAAAGAAUUACAUUGCCGGAUCCGUCAAAAUUCAAGGUUUUUGCACAUUCAGG